RNAcentral lists this unclassified non-coding RNA (258 nucleotides) under fungal sp. RNAcentral's name for it is "partial internal transcribed spacer region". Lineage: Eukaryota; Fungi. The record is from RNAcentral.
AAGUCGUAACAAGGUUUCCGUAGGUGAAAAACAGUGUUGAUUCAGAGACCUCUUUCGAAACACGAAUCCAUGCAGCGGCAGAUCAAUAGGCUUGGCUUCCAACAACUUGGUAACAUCCAAGGUCGUUGGCUUACACGGUCAACGGACAAGUCUCUGGGCGUAAAGCCCCAGCUAACAAAACCCAGUAGGUGAAAGUAGUCCCGCGUAAAGUAGGGACACAAAAACGAACAACAGGUAACAAUGGAUAUCUUGGUUCUC